UACGUAGGGGCCGAGCGUUGUCCGGAUUCAUUGGGCGUAAAGAGCUCGUAGGCGGUCGCGUAAGUCGGGUGUGAAAUCUCCGGGCUCAACCCGGAGGGGCCACCCGAUACUGCUCGACUUGAGUCCGGUAGGGGAGUGGGGAAUUCCUGGUGUAGCGGUGAAAUGCGCAGAUAUCAGGAGGAACACCGGUGGCGAAGGCGCCACUCUGGGCCGGUACUGACGAUGAGGAGCGAAAGCGUGGGGAGCAAACAGG
RNAcentral lists this ribosomal RNA (253 nucleotides) under uncultured bacterium. RNAcentral describes it as "partial 16S ribosomal RNA". It matches the Rfam family "Bacterial small subunit ribosomal RNA", at positions 524 to 776 of the family's 1533-position model. The record is from RNAcentral.